CAGAAGAGAACAUGUUAGGUUUUUAUUGCUUGUUCUACUUUUGGGGAUUGGCUGUGGAGGAAGAAAGUAAACCCUGAUUAUCACGAGGGCAACUUUAGUAUCAGUGGACAGAUAAGGAGAAAGCAGCAUGUUGGCCCCUUUUGCCCCACAGGAAUGACGUUGCCUUGCCUUUCACUGAAAUCUGAGAUCUGAACCUGGAAGGAAGCGCUCAGUUUAGAAAUUGCCGUGAAUUUUUCAGGAAGGUGUAGAAGACUUCAAAGUUAAUUUUGAAAUCUGCUGAUCCAUUUGGAAUUUGCAACCAAACUCAGUUCUCAUUUCUACUUGUCUAGUUCCCAAGCUAUUUUACAACUGCUAUUUCACCAGUAUGAACAACAGCUGACCCACAAUAUCUAGAUCGGGCAGAUGCAUAGAACUAGGAGAGGUGGUAAAACUGGAAGGACAUUAAUAAUAUUUCUAGCCACGUUCAUAUAAGCACGGAUGUUUGGACUCGAUGAUCUCUUGAGGUUCCUUCCAAUUCCUGUGAUUCUGUGAUCUCUCUCUAGAAAAACAAACCAAACCCAUCAAACACAUGCAUUGAACUCCAGAUGAGCUAAGAAUGGUGACUGUUCUCAAGAGGCCACGUGUUUACAAGAAUCUAGGGAUACAGAAGAGGCUGUAGCCAAUUCCAUGACAAGCCCUCAGGCAGAAAAGCAGUGCUCCCCAAUACUCGCAUUCAGUGUUUUUUGCAUUCCAAAGAACUAAUGGUCUUUCACACGCAUCUUAAAUCUCCAUCUGGGAAAUGCAGGACUAAUUUCAAACUCUUCUUGCUUCUGCACUGAAGGGUAUUUUGUUCACCUCUCACCUUACACCUCAAAAGGUAUAUAAUUGCCUAUAAUUGCCAGAGAAAAGGUGUAUAAUAAUGCAUGAGCAACUUGAUACUCCUACUGGCAUUCUAGAUAAAGAUUAGGGUUAUCAAAAUUGCUUACUUUACAAUGCAGAGUUUAUUUUCUGCUCUCAGCAGUUUAUCGGAAUUUUUAUUACUGCAACGCUGAGAACCUGCUUUCCCAGUACAAGCUCCAGAAGAAAUAAAGAAGAACCACUUAAAGAGGAGAUCACACGGACAAAGGAACUUGAAAUUACACUGAUCACAUGCAUAUUCUUCUCAUUUUGUCUUCUGGAAGAAUUCAAUUUACUCCUUUCAGUUCAGACAAACGUCAGAGAAAAGAUGAAAGGCAUGAAGACAAACAGCAUCAGCACAGCUCAUUCACUGGUUAACACUCUCACCAGGUGCAUCAGUAUCAAGCAGGAUACUCACAAGGAGACAGGCAGAACAGAUUGCUCAGCAUUUGCAGCAGUGGAGAGAAUAAAAGCAUCUGAUGAAAUACUGUGUUGUAGGAACAGAAUAACACAGAAGAGCUAGAUCAGCACUUCACUGCAGAAGUACUCACAUGUCCUGCUGCCCUAGAACCUGCAGUCAUCAUGCUACAGGGAUUUUCCUGUAUAUAUUAUCACCAGAUUAAAUGGACAACAUGCUCUUUAUAGUGUCAGUGAGAAAAGAGUACAAAGUAAAGCAGCAACUCUUAUUCAUAGACAGGAACACAGGAAAUGCAGAGCAGAGAGUGCGCAUACAGAUACGUACCAGAGAAGGAGCUGAACAAGGCAGGAACAAGUGGAUCCAUCCAAGCAGUUUGGUAAGACUUGGACACUGAAUAGAAGAUGAACAAAGGACAACUGAGAAGUGCUACCAAGGCUAAGAUCUAAGCCCAGAAAUUUGGCAAUACAGCAAAGUACACAAAAAGUAUGCUGUGCAGGCAAACUCUGUGCUAAGUUAAUGCAUGAAUGCAUACAACAAUAAGAAGAUGACAAAAACAGAUUUCACAAGGGACAACAAAACAAAGCACCUACACAAGUUUCAGAAAUGCAUAUCCACCACUGUUAGCUAUCUAAGGCUUAUAAUUCAACACACUGCAACUAUAAAAAUGCUAGGACUAUUCUUAUCGCUGCUUUCACUCAAAGACAGUUAACACAAUGUCACAGUAUCAAAGUGUUCACUACAAAUAACAAAAAUAUCCGUAAAUUUAUAUUAAUCAACACAAUGCUUUAACAAAGACAAAAAAGUACAAACAGUACAAAUUAUGGUGGAUUUUUAAGAUAAGUCUCCAUUAGAAUAUGGCAGAAUAUGUCAAAAAUAGAACUACCUAAGCUGUCAAUGUUUGACUACAAUAAAAAUCAUGAAAAACUGUAACAGACUACCAGACACUAUAACCUUUAGCAGGGCAAAAAAACUGGAAGGUAUUCUCUUCCAAACUACGAAACAGAAAGCAAACCUUUUAAUACGUGCAAAGGAACAUUUUUCCCUUCUCUUCCACUCACAAAUAGAAUAGAAUAGUAGCUGUACCGUUGUAAACUUCUUAAGACUCAAGAAUGUACGGUAGGGCCCAUGUCCCAAAUCAUCAAAAAGUACCCGCAAGGUGUGCAGGCCUACUAAGAUCAAAAGUUCUUGCUGUGGCAAAAAAAAAAGAGAUAAAUCUCACUGGAAGGAAAUUGGAGGUCAAAUAUACAUAUUUAACUGUGAAAGAUGUUCUGGAAUUUUUAGUGCCCCAUCCCUGCAGGCAUUCAAGGCCAGGCUGGAUGUGGCUCUGGGCAGCCUGGUCUGGUGGUUGGCGA
Molecule: long non-coding RNA, 2646 nt
Organism: Centrocercus urophasianus (Greater sage-grouse)
Lineage: Eukaryota; Metazoa; Chordata; Aves; Galliformes; Phasianidae
Exons: 3
Source: RefSeq, a predicted model, not a curated record